RNAcentral lists this ribosomal RNA (229 nucleotides) under uncultured bacterium. RNAcentral describes it as "partial 16S ribosomal RNA". It matches the Rfam family "Bacterial small subunit ribosomal RNA", at positions 568 to 796 of the family's 1533-position model. The record is from RNAcentral.
CGUGUAGGCGGCCAGGUAAGUCAGAUGUGAAAGUCCCGGGCUCAACUCGGGAAGUGCAUUUGAAACUGCUUGGCUUGAGUAGGAGAGAGGAAAGUGGAAUUCCUGGUGUAGAGGUGAAAUUCGUAGAUAUCAGGAGGAACACCGGUGGCGAAGGAGGCUUUCUGGCUCUAUACUGACGCUGAGACGCGAAAGCGUGGGUAGCAAACAGGAUUAGAUACCCUGGUAGUCC